GAUGAACGCUGGCGGCGUGCCUAAUACAUGCAAGUCGAGCGAAUGGAUUAAGAGCUUGCUCUUAUGAAGUUAGCGGCGGACGGGUGAGUGACACGUGGGUAACCUGCCCAUAAGACUGGGAUAACUCCGGGAAACCGGGGCUAAUACCGGAUAACAUUUUGAACCGCAUGGUUCGAAAUUGAAAGGCGGCUUCGGCUGUCACUUAUGGAUGGACCCGCGUCGCAUUAGCUAGUUGGUGAGGUAACGGCUCACCAAGGCAACGAUGCGUAGCCGACCUGGGAGGGUGAUCGGCCAGACUGGGACUGGGACACGGCCAAGACUCCUACGGGAGGCAGCAGUAGGGAAUCUUCCGCAAUGGACGAAAGUCUGACGGAGAAACGCCGCGUGAGUGAUGAAGGCUUUCGGGUCGUAAAACUCUGUUGUUAGGGAAGAACAAGUGCUAGUUGAAUAAGCUGGCACCUUGACGGUACCUAACCAGAAAGCCACGGCUAACUACGUGCCAGCCGCCGCAGUAA
Molecule: ribosomal RNA, 515 nt
Filed under: uncultured bacterium
Lineage: Bacteria
Description: partial 16S ribosomal RNA
Rfam family: Bacterial small subunit ribosomal RNA
Source: RNAcentral